Molecule: long non-coding RNA, 285 nt
Organism: Malaclemys terrapin pileata
Lineage: Eukaryota; Metazoa; Chordata; Testudines; Emydidae
Exons: 3
Source: RefSeq, a predicted model, not a curated record
UUUAUAGUUGGACAAUCUGAAGUCAAGAAUUCAACUGAAGAAGCAAAAUGGAUUUGCUUGCAGUGAGACGAAGACGUGGAGGAAAUCCUGUGCUGAUGAGGUUGCCAUCUCCCUACAUGAGAAUGAGCCAGAGUAUGAACUAGACGGACUCCCAGAGGUGGUGAAAAAAGGGUUUCCUGCUAUUCCUAUUGUGAAAACCGACCCUUACAUUUUGUGCAGAACAACUUUUAACCUAAGGACCAGUCCCCGUCUUGCUGCCCAAAGCCAAAAAUUGUCACCCGGUUC